GAUGAACGCUGGCGGCGUGCUUAACACAUGCAAGUCGAACGGUGAACACGGAGCUUGCUCUGUGGGAUCAGUGGCGAACGGGUGAGUAGCACGUGAGCAACCUGCCCCUGACUCUGGGAUAAGCGCUGGAAACGGCGUCUAAUACUGGAUAUGUGACGUGACCGCAUGGUCUGCGUUUGGAAAGAUUUUUCGGUUGGGGAUGGGCUCGCGGCCUAUCAGCUUGUUGGUGAGGUAAUGGCUCACCAAGGCGUCGACGGGUAGCCGGCCUGAGAGGGUGACCGGCCACACUGGGACUGAGACACGGCCCAGACUCCUACGGGAGGCAGCAGUGGGGAAUAUUGCACAAUGGGCGCAAGCCUGAUGCAGCAACGCCGCGUGAGGGAUGACGGCCUUCGGGUUGUAAACCUCUUUUAGCAGGGAAGAAGCGAAAGUGACGGUACCUGCAGAAAAAGCGCCGGCUAACUACGUG
This 469-nucleotide ribosomal RNA is filed under the name uncultured bacterium. RNAcentral describes it as "partial 16S ribosomal RNA". It matches the Rfam family "Bacterial small subunit ribosomal RNA", at positions 28 to 507 of the family's 1533-position model. The record is from RNAcentral.